AGGGGUAUAGUUCAGUCGGUAGAACACCAGUCUCCAAAACUGGGUGUCGUGGGUUCGAGUCCUUCUGCCCCUGCCA
This 76-nucleotide transfer RNA is filed under the name Bacteroidales bacterium. RNAcentral's name for it is "tRNA-Trp". It matches the Rfam family "tRNA". From Rfam's summary of the family: Transfer RNA (tRNA) molecules are approximately 80 nucleotides in length. Their secondary structure includes four short double-helical elements and three loops (D, anti-codon, and T loops). Lineage: Bacteria; Pseudomonadati; Bacteroidota; Bacteroidia; Bacteroidales. The record is from RNAcentral. RNAcentral also lists the same sequence under 2 other names.